AACCAACAGGGAUUGCCUCAGUAACGGCGAGUGAAGCGGCAACAGCUCAAAUUUGAAAAUCUGACCCUUCGGGUCCGAGUUGUAAUUUGUAGAGGAUGUUUCGGGUAAGAUCUAGGUCUAAGUUCCUUGGAACAGGACGUCAGAGAGGGUGAGAAUCCCGUACGUGGCCGAGGAUCGCACCCAUGUGAAACCCCUUCGACGAGUCGAGUUGUUUGGGAAUGCAGCUCAAAAUGGGUGGUAAAUUUCAUCUAAAGCUAAAUAUUGGCCAGAGACCGAUAGCGCACAAGUAGAGUGAUCGAAAGAUGAAAAGCACUUUGAAAAGAGAGUUAAACAGUAUGUGAAAUUGUUGAAAGGGAAGCGCUUGCAACCAGACUUGUUUACUGGGUUCAGCCGUCGUUCUCGGCGGUGUAUUUCCCUGUUAUCAGGCCAGCAUCAGUUUGGGUGGAAGGUCAAAGGCCUCGGGAAUGUAGCACCCUCUUGGGGGUGUCUUAUAGCCCGGGGUGUAAUGCUUCCUACCCGGACUGAGGUACGCGCUUCGGCUCGGAUGCUGGCGUAAUGGUUGUAAGCGACCC
This 572-nucleotide ribosomal RNA is filed under the name uncultured fungus. RNAcentral describes it as "partial large subunit ribosomal RNA". It matches the Rfam family "Eukaryotic large subunit ribosomal RNA", at positions 63 to 650 of the family's 3401-position model. Lineage: Eukaryota; Fungi. The record is from RNAcentral.